GAUGAACGCUGGCGGCGUGCCUAAUACAUGCAAGUCGAGCGAACGGACGAGAAGCUUGCUUCUCUGAUGUUAACGGCGGACGGGUGAGUAACACGUGGAUAACCUACCUAUAAGACUGGGAUAACUUCGGGAAACCGGAGCUAAUACCGGAUAAUAUUUUGAACCGCAUGGUUCAAAAGUAAAAGACGGUCUUGCUGUCACUUAUAGAUGGAUCCGCGCUGCAUUAGCUAGUUGGUAAGGUAACGGCUUACCAAGGCAACGAUGCAUAGCCGACCUGAGAGGGUGAUCGGCCACACUGGAACUGAGACACGGUCCAGACUCCUACGGGAGGCAGCAGUAGGGAAUCUUCCGCAAUGGGCGAAAGCCUGACGGAGCAACGCCGCGUGAGUGAGGAAGGUCUUCGGAUCGUAAAACUCUGUUAUUAGGGAAGAACAUAUGUGUAAGUAACUGUGCACAUCUUGACGGUACCUAAGCAGAAAGCCACGGCUAACUACGU
This 496-nucleotide ribosomal RNA is filed under the name uncultured bacterium. RNAcentral describes it as "partial 16S ribosomal RNA". It matches the Rfam family "Bacterial small subunit ribosomal RNA", at positions 28 to 506 of the family's 1533-position model. The record is from RNAcentral.